GACACAUGAUUCUCGCCAAUGCUUGGCCAUUGGUAUUGAGAAGAAAUGUGAGUUCUUUGCAAGCCGAGAAAUAGGCUAGCCUUGAUACACCCAAUGCUAAAGCCACGCUAAACGCCGCCUUCAAAACAAGUCCAAGUGCUAUUAGAACAGAGGAGACUGAGGGUCUUGAAAAUGAUCCUUGAAGGAUCGUUGCCAUAAGUCGAUCUUUAAUGAUCCAUCUCAAAACGCACCAAAUAACUUGAGCCAUCCAAGCGACGGUGACGCCACAAGUAAAAUCGACUAGAGGAGCAUCGAUACGGAUUAUACAUAUAAAGAUGAGAAGUGCAAAAUAAUGUUUAACAACAAAUAAUAUGUCAAAACUUCUCUAGAGUUCUCUCUCACAUCCCCACAUAGAUAGAGGCAUCAUCAUCAUCAUCAUCAUCCUUUGUAGAUGGCACUGAAAGGAGGGAAGCUUGAUUCGUGUGUGUAUAUAUUCUCGUCUAUGGUUUUCAUCAUCCGUCUUAAUUGGUGCAGGAGAUUGCAUCUCUAUGUAUAUUAGAUGUAUGUAUGUAAGGAUGAAAAUGAAAUGUUGUAUGUAUAUGUAGAUUUGUA
Molecule: long non-coding RNA, 591 nt
Organism: Capsella rubella
Lineage: Eukaryota; Viridiplantae; Streptophyta; Magnoliopsida; Brassicales; Brassicaceae
Exons: 3
Source: RefSeq, a predicted model, not a curated record